GACGAACGCUGGCGGCGUGCUUAACACAUGCAAGUCGAACGGACAGGCCCUGCUUGCAGGGUGCUCGAGUGGCGAACGGGUGAGUAACACGUGGGUGAUCUGCCCCUUACUUUGGGAUAAGCCUGGGAAACUGGGUCUAAUACUGGAUAGGACCAUGCUGUAGGUGGUGUGGUGGAAAGAUUAGUUUCGGUAAGGGAUGAGCUCGCGGCCUAUCAGCUUGUUGGUGGGGUAAUGGCCUACCAAGGCGUCGACGGGUAGCCGGCCUGAGAGGGUGGACGGCCACAUUGGGACUGAGAUAAGGCCCAGACUCCUACGGGAGGCAGCAGUGGGGAAUAUUGCACAAUGGGCGCAAGCCUGAUGCAGCGACGCCGCGUGGGGGAUGACGGCCUUCGGGUUGUAAACUCCUUUCAGCCAUGACGAAGCCCUUGUGGUGACGGUAGUGGUAGAAGAAGCACCGGCUAACUACGUG
This 469-nucleotide ribosomal RNA is filed under the name uncultured bacterium. RNAcentral's name for it is "partial 16S ribosomal RNA". It matches the Rfam family "Bacterial small subunit ribosomal RNA", at positions 28 to 507 of the family's 1533-position model. The record is from RNAcentral.